AGCUGUGUCUAGGUGGCAAUGUAUUUCUGUACAAGUAUUCGUAGCAACAUGUCCGCCGCUGUAGGAACUUGCCAACAGUCUAUCUAACAGUAAUAAACAAGGAGACUUGGAAACACACGAGGAGGUGGCUUUCAUUAAAGAGAGAGUGAGAACAUCCACACUGUUUUUCUUUGAUGGAAGGAAGAGCUGCCAGGUCUCAGGAGAACAAGAACAUCACCUGAGACUCAGGGAGAGAGGAGCAUAAACGGUGGAACCCUGGGUCAUGUUGUCGAAGCUAAGAAGAGCAGAGAAAGAAUCACUCACUUUUUGGAGAAGAAACAAGUGAGAAGGUAUGGUGUUCUGCCAGAAUUACAGAUAUGUGAAAUCACUUAUGAAGAGGAAACCUGAGUCAUAAAUGUUUUCAAGAAAUAUACCAACUCCUGCCUGCUGCCCAGAAUUGUCUUGGCUGGACUUGUAGCUGCACCGGGUUACUGGGUCAUGCUUCCAGGUGGUGAUGAAAAUCCAAGUGAAGCUGGUCACAUCAGCCUUCUGGGACUCAUUAACAGACAGUUCCAGAAGAAGGUGGGCCAGGACUAGGGACUUCUGUUGCA
Peromyscus eremicus (cactus mouse) is the source of this 590-nucleotide long non-coding RNA. RefSeq lists it as uncharacterized. The record is from RefSeq and is a predicted model, not a curated record. Lineage: Eukaryota; Metazoa; Chordata; Mammalia; Rodentia; Cricetidae. The transcript is spliced from 4 exons.